This 464-nucleotide ribosomal RNA is filed under the name Darevskia rudis. RNAcentral describes it as "partial 12S ribosomal RNA". Lineage: Eukaryota; Metazoa; Chordata; Lepidosauria; Squamata; Lacertidae. The record is from RNAcentral.
GCUAAGCCAUUAACAUUGAUAGCUAUUAUACAACCUCUCCGCCAGAGAACUACAAGUGAAAAACUUGAAACUCAAAGGACUUGACGGUGUCCCAUAUCGACCUAGAGGAGCCUGUCCUAUAAUCGAUACCCCCCGCUCCACCCAACCCCAACUAGCAUACGUCAGCCUAUAUACCGCCGUCGAUCAGCCUACCCUAUGAAAGUCCAACAGUAGACACAAUAGCCCCACCGCUAAUACGUCAGGUCAAGGUGUAGCAAAUGUUGUGGAAGAGAUUGGCUACAUUUUUUAUUAUAAAAAAUACGAAAUAUACCAUGAAACAGUAUAUGAAGGUGAAUUUAGUAGUAAAAUAAACAAGAGUGUUUAUUUUAACAACGCUCUGGGACGCGUACACACCGCCCGUCACCCUCCUCAACCAACCUAAACACUACCAUUUAUAAACCAACAAGAGUUAAAAUAGAGGAGGU